UACGCCUAAAUGCGGUUAUAUUUUCUCUCAUGGUGGUUUUUAUCUAGGUGUCACGGAUACUGAUACGGGACAUAGGAUAUGAGACGCGACACGACUUGAAAACGGCGACUAACACGGGACAUGAGACAUGGAACGCGAUACGACUCGAAAACGGCAACUUGGCAUUUUUCAAAAAUUAGGAUACGAACACGACAUAAACACCACUAAUAAAAUAUAAUAUUAUUAAUAUAAUAAUAUUAUAUAUAUAUAUAUAUAUAAAAUAUUAAUUUUCGUAAUAUAUUGUUAUAUUUUUCAUAUAAAUAAAAGUUAGUGAAAUUUUCAUUGAUAGUUCAUAUAUUUUAAGAAGAAAAAUUCUCCACUAUAUAUAAUUUAUUUAUAUUGUCAAAAAAAAUUAUAUGCAUUCAUUAAAAAAUUAAAAUAUUUAUCAUCUUAUAUUAUACAUGCAUAAAAAAAAUAAAAUAAAAAUAUAUGUAUAUUUUUUAAUUAUUUGCGCUAUGGAUUGUCAUUUAACGCGCGUCUAAGAAGUGAUUGGACAUGCAGGUGUCUGACACGAACACGUGCGUGUCCGUGAGACUUAUAAAAAU
This 584-nucleotide long non-coding RNA is filed under the name Ananas comosus (pineapple). Its description in RNAcentral is "long non-coding RNA (ACOM_LNC004122)". Lineage: Eukaryota; Viridiplantae; Streptophyta; Magnoliopsida; Poales; Bromeliaceae. The record is from RNAcentral.